Sinocyclocheilus rhinocerous is the source of this 250-nucleotide long non-coding RNA. RefSeq lists it as uncharacterized. Lineage: Eukaryota; Metazoa; Chordata; Actinopteri; Cypriniformes; Cyprinidae. The record is from RefSeq and is a predicted model, not a curated record. The transcript is spliced from 3 exons.
UCAGGAAUAGCACAACACUUUAGUGCAGGUUUACUGUAUAUGACAUCCAAACAACCUGAAGUGAAAGGACUGGUGGACCAGACAGAGAACUACACCACCUUCAACCUGCUUCGGCUCAAUACCAAUAGAGUGAUGCUACUGAAUUAGUAACAGACCAGAACAGUGUGAACCAAGACUGGUAUAAAAAACAUAACAGCUUAUAAAUUAUAAUAAAUAAAUAAAUAAAUAAAAUAAUAGCAAAAUGUACUGG